Molecule: ribosomal RNA, 374 nt
Filed under: uncultured bacterium
Lineage: Bacteria
Description: bacterial SSU rRNA
Rfam family: Bacterial small subunit ribosomal RNA
Source: RNAcentral
GACGAACGCUGGCGGCGUGCUUAACACAUGCAAGUCGAGCGGUAAGGCUCUUUCGGGGGUACACGAGCGGCGAACGGGUGAGUAACACGUGGGUGACCUGCCCUCAGCUCUGGGAUAAGCCUGGGAAACCGGGUCUAAUACUGGAUAUGACUCCAUGACGCAUGUUGUGGGGUGGAAAGCCUUGUGCGGCUGAGGAUGGGCCCGCGGCCUAUCAGCUUGUUGGGGGGUGAUGGCCUACCAAGGCGACGACGGGUAGCCGGCCUGAGAGGGCGACCGGCCACACUGGGACUGAGACACGGCCCAGACUCCUACGGGAGGCAGCAGUGGGGAAUCUUGCGCAAUGGGCGAAAGCCUGACGCAGCGACGCCGCGUGA